ACUCUGGGACAUUGGAGGGUGUCCCUACUUAUGUCCACGUGUUGGGUGCUUGUGUGGUGAUGUUAAGAGAUGGUGGAACCUCUAAGAUGUGGAGCCUUGUGGAAAGUCAUUUGGUCACUCUCCUUAGAAGACACGAAGGUAGUUGUUGUGGGAACGUGAGAUUGUUAUCCUGUGGGAAUGGUGACGUUGGUCUGAGCUUGGUCCCUGAACCUGCCGCUGGCUUUUUUUAUGCAAAGUCAUCUCUUGAUCUUGUCUGCACUCUCAACUGUGGUUCAGCCCAACACAAGACCCUCGUCACAUCAGAGUGCAUGCUGGUCGCAUGAACUUGACCCUCCAGAAGUGUGAGCUAAUUCGACCUCUUUUCUUUAUAAAGUUACUCAGGCUCAGCUAUUUCAUUACAAUAAUGAAAAGUGAGCUCAAAUGUCCAUUUAUUUGUGUCACCUUUAUGCAAUUUUGGAAUUUUGGAAUCAUAAGUUCCCGUCUGGAAUAUUCCAAACAAUAUCGACUGUGCCCAGUGAUCCAACAUUGGAUUCUAUUGGUCAAAUCCAGUCCCUGAAACAUGGACAGGUGGAUUCCUGUUGGCUCUUCCGUCACCAGGAUGUGUCUUUCAUAACGGGAAACGAGCUUGGCCUCUUUCUGGUGGCCUGUGACACUUUUCAAAAUGGCGGGCGGGCAGGUACUUCUCAGACCCCUUGGUAAAUGACUGACAUCAAACGUGCGGCCAUAACAGGUGUUCUUGCAAAACUGAUCCAGACAUUAUGUUAAGAGGGAGGGAAAAAUGAGUUUUGCUCAUUCAGCUGGACUUCUGCUACUUCAUUAAUUAUAUGAAUUAUGCAGAUUGGAUGAUUCCAUUUUUUUUUUCUCUGAAGGACCAGUGUGGAGCUCCAUUGAUUCCAUCCAUCACCACUUUCUGGGCUCUUUCUUGUUCUCCUGCUAAGGAGGGAUUUGUCUUAAACUCGCAUCUCCCAUUACCCAUACCAUUCUCUCCUUGAUUGAUGGCCACCGAGACCAUUAGGCACAAAUGACAUCCAUCGGGGGCUGCCAUAUACAUUCGCCCGUUUUUCUGCCCCACUUGUUCUUGGAGACACUUCUCUCUAGAUUAAUGGCUCCAGCCCCUCAUUUCAAUUAUUUUUAUUAUGCCCGGCGACUGCUCUCUCCCAUUAAAAACGAGAGUGUACAGUUCAUUUAAGGAUUCAAUAUUCCCGUUAAGCCGUCGUUCACACAAUUUCUCCAUUACCACUUCGCCACUCGUGGGGCUGCUUUGAUUUAUAGAAGUGCCAGCUGUUGGAACGCGGCCUCCGUCCUGGGAACCCAGUGGGCAUCCCGGGAACUUUACCUCGCGACGCUUGAUAACUACUAAUGAAGUUUUCUCUACUUUGUUCAGCUACGUCCACUGUGGUUAUCGGAAGAAAUUCAAGGCAAAACUCUAAAAUUGAAUGCAUUCCUAGAAGAAUGGGGAUUUUUCUUUUUUUUCAUAUUGAAACUGAUAGGAGCCACCUGCAUAUAAUUGGAAACUCAUCCAUUGGGUGCCAUGAUGGAUGUUGACUCUAUGAAUUUGGGCAUUAAAUGCAGAUCUAUUUUCCUAAGAAGUUGGUGAUGUUUGUUUUUCUUUUCCUCCUCAGGGGGUAAUAUGGGAAUCAAUGUAGCAUCAUUGCCAAACUAUUUAUGGGGUGAUAUAUGUGAUUGUCACCUUGAGAGUGUCUUGGUUUCCUAUCGUGAAUGACAAAUUUCACUAAUAUAGCAAGGUGAAGCAACACCCAAUUGUGAACCCACAGUUCCUUGGAUCAGAACUCCACAAUGGCAUUUGGGGAACUUUUGCUUAUGGUACCAUGAGGAUAUAAUCAAAAUUAUCACCUAGUCUUUGUAUCUGCCUUUAAGCUGGUAUUUGUCCAUUUUCUGCUAUCAAAACGACAUUGAUGUUGUUGAGCAUUUUACAAGGAAAAUGAAUUUAUGUAGCUUACAGUUUUGGAGUCUGAAUGACCAAGACUGUGGGACUCCAUCUGACUGGCAUCUUGGAUGAGCGUCCCUUGGCUGUGUCACAACAUGGCGGAUGGCAUCAUGGCAGGCACUUGUGGGAGUGGAAGACAUCACAUGGGAAAUGUUGUGAUUGAGAUGUGAGGUGUUCCUAACGA
Molecule: long non-coding RNA, 2132 nt
Filed under: Marmota monax (woodchuck)
Lineage: Eukaryota; Metazoa; Chordata; Mammalia; Rodentia; Sciuridae
Source: RNAcentral